AUCCGGAGUACAUACUUCUUUAUGUACCCAUAUGGACAUAUGAAAGCUAUGGAAUGUAAAGAAGUAUGUAUUUUUGAU
This 78-nucleotide microRNA precursor is filed under the name Atractosteus spatula (alligator gar). RNAcentral describes it as "mir-1 microRNA precursor family". It matches the Rfam family "mir-1 microRNA precursor family". From Rfam's summary of the family: This family represents the microRNA (miRNA) mir-1 family. miRNAs are transcribed as ~70nt precursors (modelled here) and subsequently processed by the Dicer enzyme to give a ~22nt product. The record is from Rfam by way of RNAcentral. Lineage: Eukaryota; Metazoa; Chordata; Actinopteri; Semionotiformes; Lepisosteidae. RNAcentral also lists the same sequence under 1 other name.